GAUGAACGCUGACAGAAUGCUUAACACAUGCAAGUCGAUUCGAUUUACCUUCGGGUAUUGAGGAUGGCGGACGGGUGAGUAACGCGUAAGGAACUUGCCUCUUGGUCUGGGACAACUGUUAGAAACGACAGCUAAUACCGGAUAUUAUGAGAUUCUCGCAUGGGAAACUUAUGAAAGCUAUAUGCGCCAAGAGAGAGCCUUGCGUUCCAUUAGCUAGUUGGUGGGGUAACGGCCCACCAGGGCGACGAUGGAUAGCCGGCCUGAGAGGGUGAACGGCCACAAGGGGACUGAGACACGGCCCUUACUCCUACGGGAGGCAGCAGUGGGGAAUAUUGGACAAUGGGCCACAAGCCUGAUCCAGCAAUUCUGUGUGCACGAUGAAGGUCUUCGGAUUGUAAAGUGCUUUCAGUUGGGAAGAAGAAAGUGACGGUACCAACAGAAGAAGCGACGGCUAAAUACGUGCCAGCAGCCGCGGUAAUACGUAUGUCGCAAGCGUUAUCCGGAUUUAUUGNGCGUAAAGCGCGUCUAGGCGGAAAAAUAANUCUGAUGUUAAAAUGCGGGGCUCAACUCCGUAUUGCGUUGGAAACUGUUUUUCUAGAGUACUGGAGAGGUGGGCGGAACUACAAGUGUAGAGGUGAAAUUCNUAGAUAUUUGUAGGAAUGCCGAUGGAGAA
This 673-nucleotide ribosomal RNA is filed under the name uncultured prokaryote. RNAcentral's name for it is "bacterial SSU rRNA". It matches the Rfam family "Bacterial small subunit ribosomal RNA", at positions 28 to 719 of the family's 1533-position model. The record is from RNAcentral.